AUGAAGAAAGAUGCUGAAGUGGUUGUAUUAUCCUUCACCCCAUCUGUCCUAUAUCAUCAGAACAGAAAUGAAGAUUGGAGAGAAUUAAUAUUCCAUUGUUCAGUGGACAGAUUGACUGGGAGGAGAUGGAACGGUGGUCUGACAUAGAAUUGGAGGCAGCAUAAAAGGUUUAAUUCUUGUUUCAGUCCUGAGGGGGUAAGAUAUUUUCUUUGGUCUAUUUUUUUACAAUAAAGAAAAAAAACCUUUACUCA
RNAcentral lists this long non-coding RNA (251 nucleotides) under Bos indicus x Bos taurus (hybrid cattle). Its description in RNAcentral is "lncRNA (ENSBIXG00000017411.1)". The record is from RNAcentral. Lineage: Eukaryota; Metazoa; Chordata; Mammalia; Artiodactyla; Bovidae.